Long non-coding RNA from Phyllostomus discolor (pale spear-nosed bat), 1054 nucleotides. RefSeq lists it as uncharacterized. Lineage: Eukaryota; Metazoa; Chordata; Mammalia; Chiroptera; Phyllostomidae. The transcript is spliced from 3 exons. The record is from RefSeq and is a predicted model, not a curated record.
CAAGUAAACAUUUACUGUGUAAAUAAUGAAUGAGCACAUUAGUUAAGUAAUUAAUUAAUGGUGUAGAACUUCCUACCUGGCUACAGCAACUUGCUCCAUUCAUCAAUGUGCAACAAAAGAAGGGGGGGGUGACGAUCCAAAAGAGUAAGUGGUGGGCAAAGGAAGAAAUCAAUCACUGGGGUGCCUGGCAGCCAUCAAAAUCAUGACUCUCGCUCCCAAGGGUUUAACAGAGAUCACUUUCAAAUAAGAUAACAAUUCCUGGUGCCUUUUGAUAAAAGAAGUUAAGAGAUUCAGAAUGCUGAGUUGUGAAAACGGCAGGCUAACGAAAGAGCCGCAGGACCUGAGUAGUGCCUUAUUGUACGACACCUCCGCCCCUGGAGUCCCACGAUAUACGUAUCAUUGUUUUUCUUUGAGACAAGAAGCAACUGAAAAAUUAAUUUCAGUCCACUGAAGGUUUUGAAGGCUGCUCUGCUUUUAGCACACCACGCACAAGAAGUAAACAUUAUAACCUGAGGCAGAAGGGAGAUUUUUAAAAUUACACGAGAAACAGAAUCCGGAAGAAAGCCGGUUUCCACUACACGGAGAAAUCUGCACUUGAAAACCACGGCAAGGGAUCAAAGCCGCUUCUUCUCCAGCCACCUGCCCAGAAAUUGCAGGCGCGCUAGCCCCAAACCGACGGGCACGCGGGCACGUGUCUCUCCCUGACCCAGCAGGUGCUCCGAGGGACCCGGGCUGGGGUGACCGGCUCCUGGCGCGUUGCUGGGCGCUGGGGCAGCGAAACGAGUGUCCUCCGCCAGCUCCACCAAGGCCAGCCCUAGAGCCUCGCCGCCCAGCCACGAAGGAUGCUUGGGGUCACUUGAGCCACCGCGCCCUCCGCACAGUGCCAGUCUAUUGAAUUAACCACAUUUCCCGGGCUCCAUGCCAACACGUGGCCAGCACCUACUGUAUUAGACAGCAUAUGAAACCUUUUCUUCAUCAUGGAAAGUGCUAUUGGACAGCCGUGCUUAGAGGUGAGGAUUUGGGUGAGAAGGUGAGCCUAGAUAUUCCAGUUUUU